RNAcentral lists this unclassified non-coding RNA (1980 nucleotides) under Neodiprion pinetum (white pine sawfly). RNAcentral's name for it is "transmembrane emp24 domain-containing protein bai, transcript variant X1". The record is from RNAcentral. Lineage: Eukaryota; Metazoa; Arthropoda; Insecta; Hymenoptera; Diprionidae.
GUAGUUGAACCACCGUCGAGCGACGUCGCGACUUGUAAAUGGCUGCCAACUCAUCGCGAUGUUAAUACACGUCGGAAGUAUUUGAUACAUUCCUUCAGACUGUCUACACGUGAGGUGUGAGAAGAAAGAAGUAUUCUCGUUAACCAUUUUGUGCGUAUUUAUUAAAUCUGUAAAAGAAUAUUUCCCGUGGUAAACGAAUACAGAAUGGCGGGCAAGACUCUCGUCGCCGUUGCGCUUCUCUCCCUUUUCGCAAACGUACGGGCGAUUAUGUUCUACUUAGAGCCCAACGCCGAGAAGUGUUUGAGGGAAGAAGUUCAGGCCAACGUUCUUGUCUCCGGUGAAUACGAGGUUUCUGAAGCUACUGGACAGACUGCUAAUUUCAUCGUAACCGACUCCAAAGGACACACACUUUCCAAAAAGGAAGAUAUUUCACGUGGAAAGUUUUCCUUCGUCACCGAAACCUUCGACACCUUCCAAAUAUGCUUCACAUCUCAUGUUCCCCCUCAUAUGCGAGGAAUAAAGCAAGAAGUCGCGUUGAAUAUCAAGCGAGGGAUUGAGGCGAAAAGCUACGAAGGGGCGAUUGGCGAAGCAGCCAAGCUUAAACCUAUGGAAGUGGAGCUGAAGCGUCUUGAGGAUUUAUCCGAAUCCAUUGUUCAGGCCUUUUCCUGGAUGCGCAAAAACGAGGAAGAGAUGAGAGACACAAAUGAGUCGACUAACAGUAGAGUAUUGUACUUCAGCAUAUUCUCAAUGUGUUGUCUCCUGGGUCUGGCGACCUGGCAGGUUCUCUAUUUGCGGCGUUUUUUCAAAGCGAAGAAACUGAUCGAGUAGAUGAAAAGAAUGAGAAUGACGUACAAAUAAAAAUAAUCCUUCGCAAAUUGAAAUGGGAACGAAUGUAAUAAGCCUCAAGGCUGCAAGAAUUCAAUCGGGUGAUUGCAUGGAAAAUCUUUUACGCUCGGCACCAUUCGUUGUACCUUAAUUAUAUAUUGUACAUACAUACAAUUAUUAAGUAACGCCGCUGAAACAAUGUUUGGCAAAACAGCUAUACUGAAAGUUUUGUAUUUUGAAAAUAGAAAAGAAGGGGAAAAAACAAACAAACAAGAAACGUAUGCAAAAAGCUGAAAAAAAAUUUGAAGCAUAUUUACUGAAAUAAGUAUAAAACAAUGAACGGUAAACGAUUAUUUAUUUAUACGUUAAACAAUAUUUCACAUAGGAAUCAUCGACAACCUACUUCGUGUGUAUUCACACAGAUGUAGACAUAAAUACAUACAUUAUCGGUAAUAUACAAUGUAUGGUUUUUUUUUUUUUUUUUGUUAAAGAGUAAAAAUGAAAUCCGGGAACACCUUAUGUGUUGUUUUAGAUUUACGGCCUAUCUAUUUCACCUAUGUUUCGUUGACCUAAAUUGAUUUUAUUCAAAAAAUAAACGAAACCGCGGUGUCAUGAGGAAGCACGUGACUUGUGAGUGACGUCAUUGGAAGAUGGCCGUUCUCGGGUGAAAAUGAGUAGAAAAGGUUGCUUUUCGACUCUAAAACGGGUUACGAGCUAUCUGAAAUUGGUGUAAUUUCCGAAAGUGGAGUGGAGAAAAAAUAACCUACAAACUUGAUUCUGCGACAAUCAUUGAAAGUGAAUCGACAUGUCGGAAGAUUGGCAAAGCGUGGUUACAGCCAGAGACCGUGAUUGUUUGGGUUGUAGGUUAGUAAGCGGGGGCGGAUUGAUCGGUGCCGGUAUUUACGUCGCUUACCAUUCGAAACAAUUUAACAAAACUACUGGAAAAUCAGUGAUGUUCUCCUUUGCGGCCGUAUUAGCCGGUCUCGGGACUGCUAGAAUCAUGAAAUUGCCGCCGUUCGAUAGUUUCGGAAACGCCUGACUGUACAGGGAAUUCGAAUCUGGAAGGACGUGAACAUUUUUUAACGAUGAAAUAAAAUUGCGACGAACAAAGUCGACCCUUUCCGUAUUUGAGGAAUAAAACAUGUUCGAAGACUC